CUCGUUGCGGGACUUUAACCCAACAUCUCACGACACAAGCGGCGGAGCAUGUUGCUUAAUUCGAGGCAACGCGAAGAACCUUACCUGGGUUUGACAUUCUGGGAAAAGCCGUAGAGAUACGGUGUCCGAAAGGGUCCAGAACAGGUGGUGCAUGGCUGUCGUCAGCUCGUGUCGUGAGAUGUUGGGUUAAGUCCCGCAACGAGCGCAACCCUUGUCCUAUGUUGCCAGCACGUAAUGGUGGGGACUCGUAGGAGACUGCCGGGGUCAACUCGGAGGAAGGUGGGGACGACGUCAAGUCAUCAUGCCCCUUAUGUCCAGGGCUGCAAACAUGCUACAAUGGCCGGUACAAAGGGCUGCUAUACCGCGAGGUUGAGCGAAUCCCAAAAAGCCGGUCUCAGUUCGGAUUGGAGUCUGCAACUCGACUCCAUGAAGUCGGAGUCGCUAGUAAUCCC
RNAcentral lists this ribosomal RNA (452 nucleotides) under uncultured bacterium. Its description in RNAcentral is "bacterial SSU rRNA". It matches the Rfam family "Bacterial small subunit ribosomal RNA", at positions 924 to 1345 of the family's 1533-position model. The record is from RNAcentral.